AUUGAACGCUGGCGGCAUGCCUUACACAUGCAAGUCGAACGGCAGCACGGGGCAACCUGGUGGCGAGUGGCGAACGGGUGAGUAAUGCAUCGGAACGUGCCAUUGAGUGGGGGAUAACGUAGCGAAAGUUGCGCUAAUACCGCAUAUUCUGUGAGCAGGAAAGCAGGGGACCGCAAGGCUUUGCGCUCUUUGAGCGGCCGAUGUCAGAUUAGCUAGUUGGUGAGGUAACGGCUUACCAAGGCGACGAUCUGUAGCGGGUCUGAGAGGAUGAUCCGCCACACUGGAACUGAGACACGGUCCAGACUCCUACGGGAGGCAGCAGUGGGGAAUUUUGGACAAUGGGCGCAAGCCUGAUCCAGCCAUGCCGCGUGAGUGAAGAAGGCCUCGG
This 388-nucleotide ribosomal RNA is filed under the name uncultured bacterium. RNAcentral's name for it is "bacterial SSU rRNA". It matches the Rfam family "Bacterial small subunit ribosomal RNA", at positions 30 to 420 of the family's 1533-position model. The record is from RNAcentral.